Aedes aegypti (yellow fever mosquito) is the source of this 765-nucleotide long non-coding RNA. RefSeq lists it as uncharacterized. NCBI's taxonomy places the organism in Eukaryota, Metazoa, Arthropoda, Insecta, Diptera, Culicidae. The record is from RefSeq and is a predicted model, not a curated record. The transcript has 2 exons.
UGGCUUCAAGUUAGACUGGAAAUAGAAAAUUAUACGGUUCAAAUCCAGUGAGUUCUACGGACAUUUCUCUUUCGUCAUGAAGCUCGAAAAACAGCUCCGUUUAAGAUACCUCAACAUAUUUGGCUUGGUUUUACAAAUAUUUGAAAUCGGAAAUGUGUCAAACCUACUUCUUAAGAUAUUAUAUGCAGCCAAUGGUUAAAACCAUGCAAGAACAGUCUUCAAAAAAUCUCACUCCAAGAGCUGCUGAGAUUCAAAAACCACAGAUCAAGAUCGAUUGCGUGCGCUCAUUAUAUUCCAAUCCAGGCAUGCAUUGAAUCAUGCGUCUUGUAUCAGAGGAUUGAAACCUAGGAUUCGAUCCUUGAUUGAUAAGAAUUAUUAAAAUAAAUCAAGUUAACCUUGAUAAUAACCGAAAAUGAGUGAAGAAUACUUUUGACAGGACACACACUUUUGAUCCGCUUGAAAAAGUUUGUAUUUCUUCUCGCAGGAUUCUGAUAGUUAUUAUGCUCACUUUCUUCCAUUAUUACCGCAGCUGCUACUCCGUGACUGUUCAAUGGCAUUAGUUUGUGGUGUUCAAAACUAUUAAACUGAAGCCUAUGAAGCUUAACAUUCGGACUGGCAGUGCAGUUGGAAUCCCCUAUUAUAUGAAGAAUAGACUCGAAGUAAAAAGGAAUUGAACUUCACCAGUUCUCGGAUAUUAGUGAAUUUAUUAACGAAUGCAACUAUUACAAAAGUAAAAUAAAAAUAUGGAAAUUUAAGUAGAAAUAG